Molecule: ribosomal RNA, 118 nt
Filed under: Neogale vison (American mink)
Lineage: Eukaryota; Metazoa; Chordata; Mammalia; Carnivora; Mustelidae
Source: RNAcentral
UCUACGGCCAUACCACCCUGAACGCGCCCGAUCUCGUCUGAUCUCGGAAGCUAAGGAGGGUCGGGCCUGGUUAGUACUUGGAUGGGAGAAAACAUUUGAAUACAUGGAACUGAUACAU